RNAcentral lists this transfer RNA (30 nucleotides) under Paralophaster godfroyi. Its description in RNAcentral is "partial tRNA-Thr". Lineage: Eukaryota; Metazoa; Echinodermata; Asteroidea; Velatida; Solasteridae. The record is from RNAcentral.
CGCCCUAAUAAGCUAAAUGGCAGCAUUUAA